Molecule: ribosomal RNA, 664 nt
Filed under: Microcystis aeruginosa CALU 972
Lineage: Bacteria; Bacillati; Cyanobacteriota; Cyanophyceae; Chroococcales; Microcystaceae
Description: bacterial SSU rRNA
Rfam family: Bacterial small subunit ribosomal RNA
Source: RNAcentral
CGGACGGGUGAGUUACGCGUGAGAAUCUAACUUCAGGACGGGGACAACAGUUGGAAACGACUGCUAAUACCCGAUGUGCCGAAAGGUGAAACCUAAUUGGCCUGAAGAAGAGCUUGCGUCUGAUUAGCUAGUUGGUGGGGUAAGAGCCUACCAAGGCGACGAUCAGUAGCUGGUCUGAGAGGAUGAGCAGCCACACUGGGACUGAGACACGGCCCAGACUCCUACGGGAGGCAGCAGUGGGGAAUUUUCCGCAAUGGGCGAAAGCCUGACGGAGCAACGCCGCGUGAGGGAGGAAGGUCUUUGGAUUGUAAACCUCUUUUCUCAAGGAAGAAGUUCUGACGGUACUUGAGGAAUCAGCCUCGGCUAACUCCGUGCCAGCAGCCGCGGUAAUACGGGGGAGGCAAGCGUUAUCCGGAAUUAUUGGGCGUAAAGCGUCCGCAGGUGGUCAGCCAAGUCUGCCGUCAAAUCAGGUUGCUUAACGACCUAAAGGCGGUGGAAACUGGCAGACUAGAGAGCAGUAGGGGUAGCAGGAAUUCCCAGUGUAGCGGUGAAAUGCGUAGAGAUUGGGAAGAACAUCGGUGGCGAAAGCGUGCUACUGGGCUGUAUCUGACACUCAGGGACGAAAGCUAGGGGAGCGAAAGGGAUUAGAUCCCCCCUGUAGUCA